AUGGCUGGAAGGGCGGUCAAUAUUAAUAGUGGUAACUUGGCUAGGGUUUGGCAUGACCCAUGGAUAGAUGCUGCACCCCUACGCGAAACAUUCCCUAUCCUGUUCAGUAUAUGUCAGGAUCAGGAUGGAACUAUUGCAGAUUUUGUGGCAAAAAACUAUAGCCUGGGUUUCAGGCGCAGGCUGUUUGGGGAGAUCAAUGAUCAAUGGGAAUGGGUGGUUUCUGAGGCAAGAAAGUAUGCUUUGAACAAUAUCCCUGAUACUUUGUUUUGGAAGUUUUGCAAGAACAAGAGACUUACCACUAAAUCAGUGUAUGAAUGGUUGGAAAGGAAUUUAGCUGGUCCUAACUAUAAGUGGAUCUGGAAAGCUAGUAUCCCAUUGAAAAUCAAAAUAUUUUUGUGGCAGCUGUUCCAAAAUGUUGUGCUUACCCGAGAUAAUUUGCGGAAGAGGAAUUGGCCCGGGAAUCAUGUUUGCUCUUUUUGCACGAACAUGGAAACUGCAAACCAUCUAUUCUUUACAUGUCCUCUUGCUCGAACAGUCUGGGGGACCCUAGGGCUUACGGCUGGAGCAUCCUGUUGGCCAUGA
This 582-nucleotide ribosomal RNA is filed under the name Triticum aestivum (bread wheat). RNAcentral's name for it is "partial small subunit ribosomal RNA". Lineage: Eukaryota; Viridiplantae; Streptophyta; Magnoliopsida; Poales; Poaceae. The record is from RNAcentral.